This 858-nucleotide long non-coding RNA is filed under the name Homo sapiens (human). RNAcentral's name for it is "novel transcript". The record is from RNAcentral. Lineage: Eukaryota; Metazoa; Chordata; Mammalia; Primates; Hominidae.
AGACUUGCUGAGUCUUCUGGCCUUCGUCUUCCUUUCGUGCUGGAGCUUCCUGCCCUCGAACAUCAGACUCCAAGUUCUUCAGGUUUUGAACUCUUGGACUUACACCAGCGGCUUGCCACAUGGUCUCAGGCCUUCAACUACAGACUGAAGGAUACCCUGUUGGCUUCCCUACUUUUGCGGUUUUGGGACUCAGACUGGCUUCCUUGCUCCUCAGUUUGCAGUUGGCCUAUCGUGGGACUUCACCUUGUGAUCAUUCAAUGGAUGGAUGCAUCUUGAUUAGUUCAUGUAGUGAAAGAAGAAAUUCCAUCAGAACUUGAGGAAAUGUUCCAAUGAGCAAAUACUUUUAAUUUCUCUACCUGUGUUAUAUCUACGGGUAUCCUACAGAACAAGAUAUUGUUUAUUUCAAGAUUCCUGUCAAGAUCUAUUUUCUUCUCAAAUAUGCUCUACCGGAGUAAUCUUAUGGUUCCUGUCUGCUCCGUCUGCUAUAACAGAAUGUCCUAAACUGAGUGGUUUAAAAGACAUUUAUUUUUUACAAUUCUGAUGUCUGGAGACCAAAAUGCCAGCUGAUUUGUUCCUGCAGUCUUUUAGAAGCAAUAAUGGCACUAAUAAUUAAGUCAAUAAGAACAUUUGGCACAGUGAUUGGGAACACUGCAGUUUGCCUCGAUCACUCAUACUACUACCGCUUAUUUGUAGGGUGGAAAACCUGAAAAGACUGUAGGCUACUACUCCAAUCCUAAAGCAGGGACGUCAUUCAGAAAGAAUCAUGCGACUGCUUCUGCCCCAAACUCAGAACCAUUGCUUAGAGAUUUUGCCCAGGGUGAAAUGCAGGAAAAACAAACAAACAAACAAACAAAUAAA